Molecule: ribosomal RNA, 253 nt
Filed under: uncultured bacterium
Lineage: Bacteria
Description: partial 16S ribosomal RNA
Rfam family: Bacterial small subunit ribosomal RNA
Source: RNAcentral
UACGUAGGGACCAAGCGUUGUUCGGAUUUACUGGGCGUAAAGGGCGCGUAGGCGGCGCGGUAAGUCACUUGUGAAAUCUCUGAGCUUAACUCAGAACGGCCAAGUGAUACUGCAGUGCUAGAGUGUGGAAGGGGCAAUCGGAAUUCUUGGUGUAGCGGUGAAAUGCGUAGAUAUCAAGAGGAACACCUGAGGUGAAGACGGGUUGCUGGACCAACACUGACGCUGAGGCGCGAAAGCCAGGGGAGCAAACGGG